Molecule: transfer RNA, 20 nt
Filed under: Incilius mazatlanensis (Sinaloa toad)
Lineage: Eukaryota; Metazoa; Chordata; Amphibia; Anura; Bufonidae
Also listed under: 1 other name
Description: partial tRNA-Phe
Source: RNAcentral
CCUAAAAAGUCCUUUAAACA